RNAcentral lists this long non-coding RNA (1248 nucleotides) under Carassius auratus (goldfish). RNAcentral's name for it is "lncRNA (ENSCARG00000039613.1)". Lineage: Eukaryota; Metazoa; Chordata; Actinopteri; Cypriniformes; Cyprinidae. The record is from RNAcentral.
GCUACGGUGACCUCGGAAUGAGAGAGAAACAGACUAAUAUUAGCGUAGAUGUCAUUCUUCUAAUGAUGUAGCAAGUACAUCUGGUGGUAUGGGAAGUGUUCCCGGUUCCGGUUUACCUAAUUAAUGCAGCAUAAAAAUCCUUUAACAGAUUUGGAUAUUAAAAGCAUUUUAGUAUGUUAUGUGUAGGCCAGGUUAAAGAGAUGGGUCUUUAAUCUAGAUUUAAACUGCAAGAGUGUGUCUGCCUCCCGAACAAUGUUAGGUAGGUUAUUCCAGAGUUUAGGCGCCAAAUAGGAAAAGGAUCUGCCGCCCGCAGUUGAUUUUGAUAUUCUAGGUAUUAUCAAAUUGCCUUUGAGAACAUAGCGGACGUAGAGGGUUAUAAUGUAAAAGGAGCUCAUUCAAAUACUGAGGUGCUAAACCAUUCAGGGCUUUAUAAGUAAUGAGCAAUUUUUCAAAAUCUAUACGAUGUUUGAUAGGGAGCCAGUGCAGUGUUGACAGGACCGGGCUAAUAUGGUCAUACUUCCUGGUUCUAGUAAGAUGUUUCCUGAUGAUAUCUCUCAAGACACAUAAAGCGUGAAGAGUAGCGCCCCUAGCACUGAGCCUUGAGGUACUCCAUACUGCACUUGUGAUCAAUAUGAUACAUCUUCAUUCACUGCUACGAACUGAUGGCGGCCAUAUAAGUACGAUUUAAACCAUGCUAAUGCACAUCCAUUAAUGCCAACAAAGUGUUGCAUUAUAAAUGGAAAUAUCUUGUAUUCACUUGCCCGAAUUUCUCAUGAAUUUGCAAAAUGUGGGAAAACCUUUUUUUCAUUGUUGGUUGGAAUUGCCUCAUGACCAAAUGUCUUGCAGUUUGUGCAACUAAAUAUAUAUAUUAGUAUCUACUUCUUUUAAUUUCAGGAUGGGGGAUGUUGUGGUGGAAAAGGACAAACUAAUGGCUGCUGCAUGACAAAUGAACACAUACAAGAGCAUGUCAAUGUCAAUUCAAUGCUUCCAGCUCAGAAGUUGUAUGACCAGUCAGAGUUUAUACCAGUGGACCCAACACAAGAGAUCAUUUUCCACCUGAGCUCAUGGUUCGUAAAAAAAAAAAAGGUUUAAUCUGCAUUGAUUAACCAUCAUAGUAAAAUGAAGCUGAUUAAUGUAUUAAAUAGAUGAAUCAACACUUAAAUGUUUUUAUUAUUUGUGCUCUACAGAGUCUAAGUAAACAGCCCCAGAGAGAGCUGAGAUUUGUUGGAGAACGAGUGCUUUGGAUCA